Molecule: ribosomal RNA, 451 nt
Filed under: uncultured bacterium
Lineage: Bacteria
Description: partial 16S ribosomal RNA
Rfam family: Bacterial small subunit ribosomal RNA
Source: RNAcentral
AGCGAACGCUGGCGGCAGGCUUAACACAUGCAAGUCGAGCGGGCAUAGCAAUAUGUCAGCGGCAGACGGGUGAGUAACGCGUGGGAACGUACCUUUUGGUUCGGAACAACACAGGGAAACUUGUGCUAAUACCGGAUAAGCCCUUAAGGGGAAAGAUUUAUCGCCGAAAGAUCGGCCCGCGUCUGAUUAGCUAGUUGGGGAGGUAAUGGCUCACCAAGGCGACGAUCAGUAGCUGGUCUGAGAGGACGAUCAGCCACAUUGGGACUGAGACACGGCCCAAACUCCUACGGGAGGCAGCAGUGGGGAAUAUUGGACAAUGGGCGCAAGCCUGAUCCAGCCAUGCCGCGUGAGUGAUGAAGGCCCUAGGGUUGUAAAGCUCUUUUGUGCGGGAAGAUAAUGACGGUACCGCAAGAAUAAGCCCCGGCUAACUUCGUGCCAGCCGCCGCAGUAA